Molecule: ribosomal RNA, 27 nt
Filed under: Cladophialophora bantiana
Lineage: Eukaryota; Fungi; Ascomycota; Eurotiomycetes; Chaetothyriales; Herpotrichiellaceae
Description: partial 28S ribosomal RNA
Source: RNAcentral
UCAUGUGGGAAACAUUGCAAGGUGACC